GAUGAACGCUGGCGGCGUGCCUAAUACAUGCAAGUCGAGCGAACAGACGAGGAGCUUGCUCCUCUGACGUUAGCGGCGGACGGGUGAGUAACACGUGGAUAACCUACCUAUAAGACUGGGAUAACUUCGGGAAACCGGAGCUAAUACCGGAUAAUAUAUUGAACCGCAUGGUUCAAUAGUGAAAGACGGUUUUGCUGUCACUUAUAGAUGGAUCCGCGCCGCAUUAGCUAGUUGGUAAGGUAACGGCUUACCAAGGCAACGAUGCGUAGCCGACCUGAGAGGGUGAUCGGCCACACUGGAACUGAGACACGGUCCAGACUCCCACGGGAGGCAGCAGUAGGGAAUCUUCCACAAUGGGCGAAAGCCUGACGGAGCAACGCCGCGUGAGUGAUGAAGGUCUUCGGAUCGUAAAACUCUGUUAUUAGGGAAGAACAAAUGUGUAAGUAACUAUGCACGUCUUGACGGUACCUAAUCAGAAAGCCACGGCUAACUACGUG
This 497-nucleotide ribosomal RNA is filed under the name uncultured bacterium. RNAcentral's name for it is "partial 16S ribosomal RNA". It matches the Rfam family "Bacterial small subunit ribosomal RNA", at positions 28 to 507 of the family's 1533-position model. The record is from RNAcentral.